CGGGUUCUGCCCGGUACGAGCUUAUACAUAUCCCUGAGGCUAUUCAUCUUCCAUGGGGGUUGUCCCUGCCCGGAUCCUGGUCCGACGUACAUGAUCCCCACCUGACGUACUGGGCGUCAGUGGAUACAUCGGCCAACGGCCAUGGCGGUCCCGCC
Molecule: small RNA, 155 nt
Filed under: Sphingomonas sp. BK235
Lineage: Bacteria; Pseudomonadati; Pseudomonadota; Alphaproteobacteria; Sphingomonadales; Sphingomonadaceae
Description: 6S / SsrS RNA
Source: RNAcentral